This 128-nucleotide ribosomal RNA is filed under the name Castor canadensis (American beaver). The record is from RNAcentral. Lineage: Eukaryota; Metazoa; Chordata; Mammalia; Rodentia; Castoridae.
GUCUACGGCCAUACCACCCUGAAAGUGCCUGAUCUCGUCUGAUCUCAGAACCUAGGCAGGGUCAGGCCGGGUUAGUACUUGGAUGGGAGAAAGCAUAAUAGAUAGGGUGAAUUUGAUCAAUGUAUACU